This 708-nucleotide long non-coding RNA is filed under the name Elaeis guineensis (African oil palm). RNAcentral's name for it is "long non-coding RNA (EGUI_LNC018953)". Lineage: Eukaryota; Viridiplantae; Streptophyta; Magnoliopsida; Arecales; Arecaceae. The record is from RNAcentral.
GCGGGACAAGAUGGGAUGGUACAGUCAAAGGGGAUAGGGAUGGCCUCCCCUAGUUGGUGGAUCCUUCAUCAGACAUUCUUUCAGCCUUACGGCCAACUCGUGAUUGAUUAACUAUGGCUUCCUGAGUGCCACAAUCUAAAAUCAAUAGCCUAUCUAGCAACAGCUGGUGCACGAAAGUCCCAUCUUUGGUGGUCUGAUGCACCUUUGAUUCCAGCCACUCCAAUGCCAGACAGAGGCUAGCUGCAACAUGGGGCAUACCAACCAGAUCAGAAGAAAAAACAAGCUUCAAAAGAUCUACAUAAAACUUUCUGAUAAGGAAUUCUUAAGCCUUAAUUUUUUAUUUCUUUUGAAAAAGAUCACAGGCCAGAUACGCCCAUGAAGGUAGAAGCCAAAAUCCAUUGGCCGAAGACCCUACUCUUCAAGUGGGGGAGGAGAAGACUAGAUUGGAGUAGGCCAGAGUAUAUCCAUGAAAGUGGAAGUCGAAACCCACCGACCGAAGAUCCCACUCUUCAAGUGGGGGAGGAGAAGACUGGGUUGGAGUAGGCCAGAGUACGUCCAUGAAGAUGGAAGUCGAAACCCAUCAGUUGAAGAUCCAACUUUUCAAGUGGUGGAGGAGAAGACGAGGUCGAAGUAGAUCAGAAUAUGUCCAUGAAGGUGGAAGUCGAAACCCAUCAGUCGAAGAUCCCACUCUUUAAGUGGGGGAGGAGA